AAGUGCUGGCUUUUUGACGUU
RNAcentral lists this microRNA (21 nucleotides) under Physcomitrium patens. RNAcentral describes it as "ppt-miR1045". Lineage: Eukaryota; Viridiplantae; Streptophyta; Bryopsida; Funariales; Funariaceae. The record is from miRBase by way of RNAcentral.